AACACACCUAUUCAAGGAUUCAA
Molecule: microRNA, 23 nt
Filed under: Pteropus alecto (black flying fox)
Lineage: Eukaryota; Metazoa; Chordata; Mammalia; Chiroptera; Pteropodidae
Description: pal-miR-362-3p
Gene: pal-miR-362-3p
Source: miRBase by way of RNAcentral